RNAcentral lists this long non-coding RNA (440 nucleotides) under Olea europaea subsp. europaea. The record is from RNAcentral. Lineage: Eukaryota; Viridiplantae; Streptophyta; Magnoliopsida; Lamiales; Oleaceae.
UCCAAAUUUUAAGACCAUUUUUUUUCGAGAGAAGACAAAGUGCCUUGUCCCUCUAGUGGCCUCUAAACUGAUCUAGCGACAACUAAUGGUGCAUACCCUUAAUUAAUAUAAUAUUUCUCUCUCUCUUUUAUUUCAGUUUUUAAGAAACUAGGGAUUGGUGUUUCUUCAUGUAGGUCAUUUGGGUUUGGUAUAUGAAUACUAUUGUAUCUCAUGUUUAGAGAGUUUAAUUAUAGUGUGUUUUUCUCCUUAAUAUUUCGUUUAUGUAUGCGUGUUUUUAUUAAUUCUGUACUCAAACUUGUGAGGAUGUAACCAGACAAUGGAAGAACCCUGGUGUUCCUUUAUGUUACUUUUGCUGCAGAAUUCUAUCACACCAUGCCCAUGAUUGCAACUAAGUAGAUCAAUUCACCUAAAACAAAGAAGAUUUGGACAACAAUCAAGUU